RNAcentral lists this ribosomal RNA (305 nucleotides) under uncultured bacterium. RNAcentral describes it as "bacterial SSU rRNA". It matches the Rfam family "Bacterial small subunit ribosomal RNA", at positions 333 to 655 of the family's 1533-position model. The record is from RNAcentral.
UGUUACCUACGGGGGGCAGCAGUGGGGAAUAUUGCACAAUGGGGGAAACCCUGAUGCAGCGACGCCGCGUGAGUGAAGAAGUAAUUCGUUACGUAAAGCUCUAUCAGCAGGGAAGAAAAUGACGGUACCUGAGUAAGAAGCCCCGGCUAACUACGUGCCAGCAGCCGCGGUAAUACGUAGGGGGCAAGCGUUAUCCGGAUUUACUGGGUGUAAAGGGAGCGUAGACGGUGCGCCAAGUCUGAAGUGAAAGGCAGGGGCUUAACCCCUGAACUGCUUUGGAAACUGCCAUGCUAGAGUGCUGGAGG